This 508-nucleotide ribosomal RNA is filed under the name uncultured bacterium. RNAcentral describes it as "partial 16S ribosomal RNA". It matches the Rfam family "Bacterial small subunit ribosomal RNA", at positions 28 to 507 of the family's 1533-position model. The record is from RNAcentral.
GACGAACGCUGGCGGCGUGCCUAAUACAUGCAAGUCGAACGCUUCUUUCCUCCCGAGUGCUUGCACUCAAUUGGAAAGAGGAGUGGCGGACGGGUGAGUAACACGUGGGUAACCUACCCAUCAGAGGGGGAUAACACUUGGAAACAGGUGCUAAUACCGCAUAACAGUUUAUGCCGCAUGGCAUAAGAGUGAAAGGCGCUUUCGGGUGUCGCUGAUGGAUGGACCCGCGGUGCAUUAGCUAGUUGGUGAGGUAACGGCCCACCAAGGCCACGAUGCAUAGCCGACCUGAGAGGGUGAUCGGCCACACUGGGACUGAGACACGGCCCAGACUCCUACGGGAGGCAGCAGUAGGGAAUCUUCGGCAAUGGACGAAAGUCUGACCGAGCAACGCCGCGUGAGUGAAGAAGGUUUUCGGAUCGUAAAACUCUGUUGUUAGAGAAGAACAAGGACGUUAGUAACUGAACGUCCCCUGACGGUAUCUAACCAGAAAGCCACGGCUAACUACGUG